UGAAUGCGCAAGGAAGUACAAAAGGCACACAGGCAGAGACUAGGAUGUCUCUGGAACGGAAUCGUGAUCGUCUGUAAUUGAAAUGCCAUCUGCGGCGGCGGCGGCGGCCGAUUGAUGAACAAAGCAGGAUCGGCUGGGAUAGUUGUCCGCGCAACAUCCUUGUGAUAGUGUGCGUGAACUUGCACGCAGCAGUGCUACGUGUGGCCAGACUGUACAGGCUUAUCCAACAUGGAGAAAAGGUUGCACAGAGCAUAAAGUAGGCGAGUAGGAACAUCGUGACCUCUACGAAACUGGAGGCAGAAACAGCACGCAGGAAACUCCCCUGCGCGCCACCUACCCUACAAUUCCCCAAACCCGAAGGACCUAGGGACGCGAUAAGUCUUCUAUAGUCACCUUCCCGAAACUAAACGACCAAAUAAUACAAUGUGGACAGUGUGGACCACCAUCGCGAGCAUCCUCCCAGCCUCUUCUCAGGAAAUUCGGUGUGGAAGGAGAGACACUGGGUGCCAUUCAGCGGAAACAACGAACCAGCACUAUUCGAAGCAGAUAGACGAGUCAAAGGAGAGGAUCCAAGAGAUUCCAGCUGUAAUCAAGCCACAAGAACGUUAUCGGAAUAACUAGCGGCCCCACGAGGUGUUUCGAUAGACGUUUGGGGAAUCCCACGCGAGGUGUCGCCUAACGCAACUCGUUCGCGGAUUAAGUCCUGCCAGUUUGGGUCCAUUUCGCAGAGGAGACCAGCACAGCGCUACCAAGUGGAUUCUGAUACGCUAGAGGAGACGGGGUGGCUAGAAUCUCUGCGGUCUGCUACAUCUAUUUAUAGCGUGCGCCAUACUAAUGCACAUGCGCCUAUGCACCGCGCCAACACAGCCAGUCCCGAGCAUAACGGGCUUUUACAUGCUGCACUGGAUAUUCCACGUGGGCCCUCCCUCCUCCUGGCCCCUUCCACGUUCGCCCCUCCUCUUCUCGUCUUUCUCAGGAUUCCCUGUUUCUCGUGGCAUCGCCGAUGUCUGCGGAGGUCUCUCGCUUUACACGCGUGCGAACGCACGUGCGGCUGCCUCUGGAGGAAUGCACCGAACCGGGCAAAGCGAUUUAUGCGUGUGCACAGGUCCGACCGCGUGAACUUCGCACUUUUCUUGGCGAGGGUCAUCGAUGGUCGUCCAUAUUUAUAGGCGAGUUGAACUUCAGUCGAUGCGUUUCACGUGUAGUGUGUACGAGAUACCUUCGAACUACACGCUGGGAGGUUCGAAAUGAACGUUUGGAAGAUACAGGGACUCCUAGGGACUUUGUAAGUCGGAUCAUAAUCGAGUGGCCGUUUGAGGACACUGAGGAGUCGUCCCCCACCACUCUAAGCCACGCCUCUUGGCCACACCUUCCUCCACCACCAUGACCUCAAGCCACGCCCUUCGUAUGUUAUACUAGCUUUCACUAAAACACAAUGAUUUCAACGAUACAAAUACUUUGGUUACAGUCUAGAAACACGAGGUGCCAGAUAUUCUAAUUUGAUAAACUACCAAAUAAAAUAUACGCUGCAACAAAAAUCUGUGCGCAAGUGUUUUAGCGACUGUCAUUUAAGAAUAUCUGUCUCUAUGCGCGAUGUAAACAGUUACUUACUGUUCUAGAUUUCCUUAUGUCGGUUUUAUGUUUCGUUUAUAGGUUAUGUUACGCACUCUGCGCUAAAAAGUCUCACGAAAACGAACCGUAAAGAGGGAAUGAAGUUUCGUUUACGACUCCGCACAAUAUCUAAAUAUCACGAGACUUUGAACGCACCCCUCCUCCCGCCUAUGAAAAUUUACGUUCUAUUCGCAACCGUCGCGAACAAAUAUCAUAGCGUCGGGGUAGCCAGGUCUCGAGGGACCUCGGGCGUUAUAACUUCGGCAGUUGUUACUUAUAAAUUACCAUCGCGGUGGUUGUAACUCAUAGACUGUACGACGCCUUUAUAACUUAUAACCCGGCCGUAUAAGUUAUAAACGCGGCGCGUAUAAUUUAUAUGUUACGACUGCUGAUGUUAUAAAGCGCCACGCCGUGCCAAUAAACGGCAUUAUUUAAUACGAGAUUAAUUCGGGUACGACAAUCUUCCACCGCCUCUUUCCUUUUAUCGAGUAACGAAUUCAGGGUGUAUUUAUCGACCUCCUGCCAUGUUGUCUCCUGGACAUCGUCGUUUCAAUCGUUCCAUCAAUCUUCUUGAUCAUGUUCGGUCACGUGACGCGCGUACCCAUUCAAACGUUAUUCCCGUAGAAUUACUUCUGUUUGUUUUUAUUAGAUAAAUCACUUACCACGUGAAAUCAAGUAAAGUAUUUCAAUAUUUUUACCGUAUUAGCUUUUCGGUUUACGCUUAGUUGAAUUGAAAAUUGUGUCCAAAUUCAAUCAUCCGAUGAAUCGCCUAGUUCCUAACCUAGUCCUCUGGUCGUUGUGUAAUCAGGGUCGUAACAAGCGUAAUGUAAUAGAGCCAAAUGUCGUCUGAACGUUUUUCACGGCCUAUGUAACGAGAUUUGCUUUUUCACGUUGGCGAGACCGGUCACGGCGACGGUAAAUUGACCGAUAAUGUUGCUUGGCACUGAUUGCCGGAUAGCAAUGAUGAAUGCACGCGGGGCGCCCCUCGGCACGGUCUGUCCUUUACCAUGUACGCCAAGGUCGCUAACCUUACCGAGCCCUCGGGUCCUCUUUGGCGCCACACUCUCUUCGUACUUUUAGCCUGGCUCUGUGUUGUUGCAGCCGUUGUCCCGACCGCGGACAAAAACACCGUCUUCCUCGAACGAAACGACACGGUCAUUCUGUCAUGGUGUCCCCAAAAUAACCGCCUACUUUCACUACCAACUGUGAACGCAAAAUAAAAUUCGUCGACUCAAUUUCUUCGAUUAAUACGAGUCACGUUAUAAUUAAUAUAUUAUUCUUCCGAUUGUUUAGCCGUCGAAGAGGAUAGUUUUCCUUAAUUUAUUUUAUGUUAUAUUUACUUGUC
Hylaeus volcanicus is the source of this 2956-nucleotide long non-coding RNA. RefSeq lists it as uncharacterized. The record is from RefSeq and is a predicted model, not a curated record. The transcript is spliced from 3 exons. Lineage: Eukaryota; Metazoa; Arthropoda; Insecta; Hymenoptera; Colletidae.